CAGUAGCCGCGGGAAUACAGAGGGUGCGAGCGUUAAUCGGAUUUACUGGGCGUAAAGCGUGCGUAGGCGGCUUCUUAAGUCGGAUGUGAAAUCCCUGAGCUUAACUUAGGAAUUGCAUUCGAUACUGGGAAGCUAGAGUAUGGGAGAGGAUGGUAGAAUUCCAGGUGUAGCGGUGAAAUGCGUAGAGAUCUGGAGGAAUACCGAUGGCGAAGGCAGCCAUCUAGCCUAAUACUGACGCUGAGGUACGAAAGCAUGGGGAGCAAACAGGAUUAGAUACCCGAGUAGUCCCUGUCUCUUAUAC
This 301-nucleotide ribosomal RNA is filed under the name uncultured bacterium. Its description in RNAcentral is "partial 16S ribosomal RNA". It matches the Rfam family "Bacterial small subunit ribosomal RNA", at positions 509 to 807 of the family's 1533-position model. The record is from RNAcentral.